Molecule: ribosomal RNA, 253 nt
Filed under: uncultured bacterium
Lineage: Bacteria
Description: partial 16S ribosomal RNA
Rfam family: Bacterial small subunit ribosomal RNA
Source: RNAcentral
UACGUAGGGUGCAAGCGUUGCCCGGAUUUAUUGGGCGUAAAGGGCGCGUAGGCGGCUCGGCACGUCCGUUGUGAAAUCGCCCGGCUCAACUGGGCGGGGUCAGCGGAUACGGCCGAGCUUGAGCAAGCUAGGGGGCUAUGGAAUUCCCGGUGUAGUGGUGAAAUGCGUAGAUAUCGGGAGGAACACCAGUGGCGAAGGCGACUACCUGGCCUGUUCUUGACGCUGAGGCGCGAAAGCUAGGGGAGCAAACGGG